UACGGGAAGGCAGCAGNUGGGGAAUAUUCCACAAUGGGGGAAACCCUGUAUGGAGCGACGCCGCGUGAGUGAAGAAGGGCUUCGGAUUGUAAAUCUCUGUCCCAGGAGAAGAGGGGAAGACGGUAUCCUGGGAGGAAGCCCCGGCUAACUACGUGCCAGCAGCCGCGGUAAU
Molecule: ribosomal RNA, 172 nt
Filed under: uncultured rumen bacterium
Lineage: Bacteria
Description: partial 16S ribosomal RNA
Rfam family: Bacterial small subunit ribosomal RNA
Source: RNAcentral